Molecule: Y RNA, 107 nt
Filed under: Propithecus coquereli (Coquerel's sifaka)
Lineage: Eukaryota; Metazoa; Chordata; Mammalia; Primates; Indriidae
Description: Y RNA (ENSPCOG00000000958.1)
Rfam family: Y RNA
About the family: Y RNAs are components of the Ro ribonucleoprotein particle (Ro RNP), in association with Ro60 and La proteins. The Y RNAs and Ro60 and La proteins are well conserved, but the function of the Ro RNP is not known.
Source: Rfam by way of RNAcentral
UGCUGGUCCAAAGGUAAUGAGUUAUCUCACUUGAUUGUUUACAGUCAGUUACAGAUUGAACUCCUUGUUCUACUACGUUCCCCCCUCCUGCACUUGACUAGUCUUAA